Molecule: long non-coding RNA, 864 nt
Filed under: Homo sapiens (human)
Lineage: Eukaryota; Metazoa; Chordata; Mammalia; Primates; Hominidae
Description: HSALNT0293120
Source: RNAcentral
UGGUAAUCCAAUGUAUAAGCAAUGGACUGUUUUAUUCUUGGUGCUUUCAAGACCUGAUGCUUUGUUUUGAACAGGUUGAUACAUCUAGGAGUGAAAUACAUCACCGCUUUCCCUGCUCCCGCCGCCAUUAAAAUUGUGUUUGGCAUCUGACCACCAAGAUACAGAUAUUUCCUAGACUGUUUUGCAGCUAGGUACUUAGAAGUUUUUCUAAGUUAUUUAAACUUCUCACCACACAAAAUCUGGAUUUGUAUCUGUCACGUAGUAAUUGCUUGAUAAAUGACUGUGCCCUGCAUUCUCAGCUGCCUCAGCAUUCCCUAACUCCUCUAUUCAUUUGAGGGCUCCUACCUCCUGGACUGUUCAGGAAAAGGCCCUGCAGAAAAAAAAAAAAAACAUUUCUCUUUCCUCUGGAGAAAAAUAUCUGCUUUCUUUAAAAUAAAUGUUCCAUCCAUGCAGCUAAGCAGCUAAGGACACGAACAGCCACUGAUACAGGCCAACUCAUCAGUAGAUUAUUGAGAUUUCAUACUAGGACCUUUCAUUGGCUGAACAAAGACAAAGACAGAAAUCAAGGAAGGUCAAAGAAGCAGUCAGUUUUCUGGCACCCAAAGUUGUUGGAGAAGGGUACAGAGUCGGUAAAUAAGUCAUAUGACAGACAGGCAGUAUUUUCUUAUUUUAAUAACAAGUUUAAAAAUCCCACUUCUUGUACUUACCUUCUGUCUGACGUCAUCAGUAUUUUAAAAUGCCAACUGGGAUCAAGUUCAACACUGCAUUACUGAAGAAUCCAGAUUAUCUACAUUUCAAGUGCCAAAUGAAAGAAAGAACCCAGAAAAUAAAACAAUAUGAUGAUAACAGUAAAAUUUUUUAAAA